CCUACGGGGGGCAGCAGUGAGGAAUAUUGGUCAAUGGGCGCGAGCCUGAACCAGCCACGUAGCGUGAAGGAUGACUGCCCUACGGGUUGUAAACUUCUUUUAUAAAGGAAUAAAGUGAGGCACGUGUGCCUUUUUGUAUGUACUUUAUGAAUAAGGAUCGGCUAACUCCGUGCCAGCAGCCGCGGUAAUACGGAGGAUCCGAGCGUUAUCCGGAUUUAUUGGGUUUAAAGGGAGCGUAGAUGGGUUGUUAAGUCAGGUGUGAAAGUUUGCGGCUCAACCGUAAAAUUGCAAUUGAUACUGGCAGCCUUGAGUACAGGUGAGGUAGGCGGAAUUCGUGGUGUAGCGGUGAAAUGCUUAGAUAUCACGAAGAACUCCGAUUGCGAAGGCAGCUUACUAAACUGCCACUGACAGUGAGGCUCGAAAGUGUGGGUAUCAAACAGGAUUAGAUACCCCGGUAGUC
This 460-nucleotide ribosomal RNA is filed under the name uncultured bacterium. RNAcentral describes it as "partial 16S ribosomal RNA". It matches the Rfam family "Bacterial small subunit ribosomal RNA", at positions 338 to 795 of the family's 1533-position model. The record is from RNAcentral.